Long non-coding RNA from Aquila chrysaetos chrysaetos, 718 nucleotides. RefSeq lists it as uncharacterized. NCBI's taxonomy places the organism in Eukaryota, Metazoa, Chordata, Aves, Accipitriformes, Accipitridae. The record is from RefSeq and is a predicted model, not a curated record. The transcript is spliced from 4 exons.
GUGUGGAGAGAGGAGGUUCGCGGCACCGCUGGGGCUUCCUCGGGGUCCCCUUGUUGUCAAGGGGUAGCAUUUGACCUGGCAGCGGUUCACGCCAAGAUUGCAAUAAGAGGAAUGAGCUUUGCAUGAUCCUGGAGAGGAUGGAAGCGAGGAGUGAUCCAGUUCACGCUGUUGGUUCACACACAACCUGCCUUGAAAGAGAUCAGAACUCUUCAGCUGAACUGCACCUGAAAAGAAUUAUUUUACGGUCCAGAAAAAAUCUUCAGACCUGACUGCACAGGUGUCUAUUGAAUAGAUCAGAGGAACUGGUUGCCAGUGAGAAAACCUGUUGUUGGAAUCAAGUUUUCUGUGGCCUUCAACGUUGUGUUGAGCAAGCUAGGGCUUGCUGAGUGUGGGACUGCUGGGAGAGCUCAGAAAAGAGAAAGAACUGGAAGGGACUAAUGGCAGCUGGCAAGGGGCUGAGCUGGGGUCUGACCUAUGUGGAAAUCAGGUGGGUCUGACCCCUGAUGUCCUUUAGGGUCCUGACUCUCCAUCUCUCCCGCUCUCUCUUUUUCUUUCCCUCUCUUUCUAGCUUUCUAUCCCUCUCAUUCUCCUGCUCUUUUUAUCUCCCUCCCACUCUCCUCUCUCCCCCCUUACCUUUUCCUCAUUUUCUCUUUUGCUCCCUUUGCCCUUUUCUCUUCUCCUUCUCCUUUUCUUUCUCCUUAUCUCUUUUUCUCUUCUC